RNAcentral lists this ribosomal RNA (458 nucleotides) under uncultured bacterium. RNAcentral describes it as "partial 16S ribosomal RNA". It matches the Rfam family "Bacterial small subunit ribosomal RNA", at positions 338 to 795 of the family's 1533-position model. The record is from RNAcentral.
CCUACGGGUGGCUGCAGUGAGGAAUAUUGGUCAAUGGCCGGAAGGCUGAACCAGCCAUGCCGCAUGAAGGUCAGUGCCCUAUGGGCGUUAAACUUCUUUUUUGCGGGAGCUAUAAUGGUCACGUGUGGCCAGACGAGAGUACCCGGAGAAAAAGCAUCGGCUAACUCCGGUCCAGCAGCCGCGGUUAUACGGAGGAUGCGAGCGUUUUCCGGAUUUUUUGGGUUUAAAGGGUGCGUAGGCGGGUCGUUAAGUCAGUGGUAAAAUGGAGGGGAUAAACCCCUUCCCGCCAUUGAUACUGGCGCUCUUGAGUGGAAGAGAGGUAUGCGGAAUGCGUGGUGUAGCGGUGAAAUGCAUAGAUAUCACGCAGAACCCCGAUUGCGAAGGCAGCAUGCCGGCUUGCGACUGACGCUGAAGCACGAAAGCGUGGGGAUCGAACAGGAUUAGAUACCCCAGUAGUC